UACGGAGGGGGCUAGCGUUGUUCGGAAUUACUGGGCGUAAAGCGCACGUAGGCGGCUUUGUAAGUUAGAGGUGAAAGCCCAGGGCUCAACCCUGGAAUUGCCUUUAAGACUGCAUCGCUUGAACAUCGGAGAGGUAAGUGGAAUUCCGAGUGUAGAGGUGAAAUUCGUAGAUAUUGGGAAGAACACCAGUGGCGAAGGCGGCUAACUGGUCCGGUACUGACGCUGAGGUGCGAAAGCGUGGGGAGCAAACAGG
This 253-nucleotide ribosomal RNA is filed under the name uncultured bacterium. RNAcentral describes it as "partial 16S ribosomal RNA". It matches the Rfam family "Bacterial small subunit ribosomal RNA", at positions 524 to 776 of the family's 1533-position model. The record is from RNAcentral.